GCGCCUCAGGGCGCUGAAAGCGCGGGACACCAUCGCCUCCGGUCCUCCCGCCUGCUGGAGCCCCAACUUCAUCACCCCGCGCCCAACACAAGGUACAACCGGCCCGAGGGGAAAGCAGCGCCUUCCCGCCCCGCAAACACACAGCCCGGGAACCACCGGGAUGGAAGCGGCGGCCCCGCGCUGAGGCGCCUUCCGGGGCCGCCCUGUUGAGUGGAACUGGCGGCCAUUUCGGGGCCGGCGGGCGGGCAGCCCCCCCACCGCCCUCACGCACACCCUCCCCGCGGCCAUCGGCGGCCGCGCCCGCCCCGCGUUACCGAGCUGCUGCCGGGCCGCCAUGGCGCCGUCGGAAUACUCACUGGAAUUUCAUCUGUGGAAAAUCCUCUCACGGAGCUUACACAGGGGCAGAGACAAAACACUUGUUUACCAAGUCUGAGUGGCCUGUACCUGCAAUAGAGAUGUUCUGAGAGUGCCCAGAAGACACAGUGCAGCUCCUGCCCCUCAUCACAGGAACAGGACUGAAGAGGUGUGAUAAGAGUGUGGAGCAUUAAUGGAGCGGGAUGCUCAGUGCCAGAGGGGAGGAGGGAUACUUUGAUCAGUCACCAGGAUAAAAGCUGAGCUGCUUUACAACACAGCCUGCUGGAAAGUAGUUGUUAGAAAAACGUGUCUAUUAAAAGGUCAGGCGUGGUCCUGUGUUCUGGACUGACACUUGCACAAGCUGGUAAAUUAUACAUAAUGAACACCUUAUUAGGUUAAUUUUGUCUAUUUGGGGUCAUCAUGAGCAGCCCAUUAGAAAAUAACAGGUUUCUCAGAGGCUGCCAAAUGCUGGUUGUUACUAUUUCUGCAAAUAGUACUGAAUGUGGAA
Long non-coding RNA from Pipra filicauda (Wire-tailed manakin), 862 nucleotides. RefSeq lists it as uncharacterized. The transcript has 3 exons. The record is from RefSeq and is a predicted model, not a curated record. NCBI's taxonomy places the organism in Eukaryota, Metazoa, Chordata, Aves, Passeriformes, Pipridae.